This 253-nucleotide ribosomal RNA is filed under the name uncultured bacterium. RNAcentral describes it as "partial 16S ribosomal RNA". It matches the Rfam family "Bacterial small subunit ribosomal RNA", at positions 524 to 776 of the family's 1533-position model. The record is from RNAcentral.
UACGUAGGGUGCGAGCGUUGUCCGGAUUUAUUGGGCGUAAAGAGCUCGUAGGCGGUUUGUCGCGUCGGCCGUGAAAUCUCCACGCUUAACGUGGAGCGUGCGGUCGAUACGGGCAGACUUGAGUUCGGUAGGGGAGCCUGGAAUUCCUGGUGUAGCGGUGAAAUGCGCAGAUAUCAGGAGGAACACCGGUGGCGAAGGCGGGUCUCUGGGCCGAUACUGACGCUGAGGAGCGAAAGCGUGGGGAGCAAACAGG